UACGAAGGGUGCAAGCGUUACUCGGAAUUACUGGGCGUAAAGCGUGCGUAGGUGGUUCGUUAAGUCUGAUGUGAAAGCCCUGGGCUCAACCUGGGAAUGGCAUUGGAUACUGGCGACCUAGAGUGCGGUAGAGGGGUGUGGAAUUCCCGGUGUAGCAGUGAAAUGCGUAGAUAUUGGGAAGAACACCAGUGGCGAAGGCGGCUAACUGGUCCAGAUCUGACGCUGAGGUGCGAAAGCGUGGGGAGCAAACAGG
Molecule: ribosomal RNA, 253 nt
Filed under: uncultured bacterium
Lineage: Bacteria
Description: partial 16S ribosomal RNA
Rfam family: Bacterial small subunit ribosomal RNA
Source: RNAcentral